GACAGAGGUCUCGAGCGUUAGGCGGAAUCACUGGGCUUAAAGCGUGUGUAGGUGGAUGCCUAAGUACCUUGUGAAAUCCCACGGCUUAACCGUGGAAUUGCUUGGUAUACUGGGUGUCUUGAGCCACUUAGGGGCAACCGGAACAAAUGGUGGAGCGGUGAAAUGCGUAGAUAUCAUUUGGAACGCCAAUGGUGAAAACAGGUUGCUGGGAGUGUGCUGACACUGAGACACGAAAGCCAGGGGAGCAAACGGG
This 253-nucleotide ribosomal RNA is filed under the name uncultured bacterium. Its description in RNAcentral is "partial 16S ribosomal RNA". It matches the Rfam family "Bacterial small subunit ribosomal RNA", at positions 524 to 776 of the family's 1533-position model. The record is from RNAcentral.